RNAcentral lists this ribosomal RNA (400 nucleotides) under uncultured soil bacterium. Its description in RNAcentral is "partial 16S ribosomal RNA". The record is from RNAcentral.
GGGAACGUAUUCACCCCAGCAUGCUGAUCUGGGAUUACUAGCGAUUCCAACUUCAUGCAGUCGAGUUGCAGACUGCAAUCCGAACUGAGACCGGCUUUAUGGGAUUCGCUUACUCUCACGAGCUUGCAGCCCUUUGUACCGGCCAUUGUAGCGUGUUUGCAGCCCUGGACAUAAGGGGCAUGAUGACUUGACGUCGUCCCCACCUUCCUCCGAGUUGACCCCGGCAGUCUCCUACGAGUCCCCACCAUUACGUGCUGGCAACAUAGAAUAAGGGUUGCGCUCGUUGCGGGACUUAACCCAACAUCUCACGACACGAGCUGACGACAGCCAUGCAACACCUGUGGCCAGGCCCCUUGCGGGGAACCGGCGUUUCCGCCGGGAUCCUGGUCAUGUCAAGCCC